UGAGUACGUAACAAACAAAAACUUCACAUAAAAGAUAACAGUAUGCAGCAAAUAAAUAUAUAAACUGAGAAAAGGGGUGCUCCAAAAAAUUUAGACUGUCACAGAUGUAGUGGUUUAAACUGCAUCAAUACAAACAUUGAAGGGUCCAGGUACACACCUAUCUUUCUACAAAAACCAACUGUGCUUGUUUCUAUACAAUUGGAAGUCAUCUUUACAGGAUUUCACAUACUAAUCCUUGAAAUACUCUCCCAAGGAUCCCAAAGAUUGGUCGGCUUCGACAAAAUGUCCAACUGGGUCCACCUUGUUCUGAACACAGCUCCACCAGGUUCAACAUUUUUCCAGAAACCCAAAAGAUCUUGCAAGUAAUGAGAAUGGAUGCUUUUUACUUGAACAGCUCAGUAUAGAUGUACCAGUAGAAGAUGGAAACACCUUCAUUUACGGGGAAAAAUGAUGAUAUUAGCAAAACAGAUAAUACAGAAAACUUAAGAGUUUUUCACAUUGUGGCAUCCACUAGAAAUAAAUGGUUCGAGGAAAUUUGACAAAUUAUGCGCAAAACGUUAGAAUGAACAAGGGUCCCUUUAGAAAAAAAAUGUCGUAAUCUGCUAGGUUAUAAAACUAAAAUUUGGAAAAUAUGCAAAGAUGCUUUAGCUGGAAUCUAUAUACAUGAGACAACUGUCAUAAAACAUGAACCCUGAGAGUUUCCAUUGCAAGGCCAAACCAGCUAAAGGCAAUAUGUAAACAAUAGAAUGUGACGCACGAAAAUCACUGUAUACAACAUCAUAUCAAGGCUUAUUCAAAUCAAUUUACGUUAUAAGAAUUGUCAAUAUGAUGUAACUUUAUAUAACAUCUCCCUUCAGUAUGUUAUAUAUGGAAUGCAUGUGUUGAGUCUCAUCUCCGGUUCUGAAUAUCCAUGUUCACCCUUUCUGAGUUCUGACAACCACCUCUUAUCAUCCAUAAUGCCCCACUUACAACUCCCCAUGCCGGUGUACGGGUUUUCCUAUGACCCCAGUGCUAAGUAUAGAUUGGUUGUCACUUAAGACCUCCAGGUCUUGGAUGCGACUAAUUAAUCUAUGGAAUUUCGCUCCUGGAGUCCUGGAGCAACCUUCACUCCUUAAACUACGUUAAAAACCAAGUUUUAAUUAAACGUUAUAAUUGACAGUCUCUAGCUGUCAUAACAGCCUUCGUAAAUAUCACAGUCAAUUUUGUAUUCGACGGCCCAAAACUGUCAAAAAAUAUUUGACAGUUAUUAAACGUCGAAUAUUUUUAAAAUAAACGACAGCUUGUGACCGUCUAUUUUCUCAAUUUUGAUAGACACUAGCAGUCAAAAAUUAAUAUUAUGGGUAUCAUAUUUCUACUACCAAAAUUUCUUUUCUUUAAUUAAUGACAGCUUCAACCGUCGAAUUUCUAAGAGUUUACUAGUGGGCCAAUUAUUAUUUUUAUGUUUUAAAAAAAAAUAAAAAACUAAUAUAUAUAUAUUAGCCACUAUAAUAACUUCACAGAACUUUCACUUCUUAGAGCAUCUCUAAUGGGUCUUCUAUAUCAAAAACUAUAGGAAUUCGAAAAAAAAAGCAGCCCUAACGCGUCGUCUAAAAAAUAGCAGUCGACCAUUCACGUAGAACGUGGUGGGCCGGUCUGCUAAAACUUUGGAUAAAAUCGCUGGAGAGAUAGGAUUAUAGGAAAAUUCUAAAAUUAUUUGUUCCACACUAGUUCGACUAGCUAGCGUGGAACCAUUUUAACUAAAGUUUUUUUGUUCUGCGCCAGUCUAACCAGAGUGGAACCAUUUUAACUAAAUUUUUUUGUUCCGCGCUGGUUGCACCAGCGUGGAAACAUAAUUUUCAAACGACUAUAAUUUCAAGAGCUAGAACAAAGAAGAGGUAGAAGAUGAUUUUCAAGAGCUAGAACAAAGAAUAACAAUGGCGGAUGAAGAAGAUAAGAUGAAGUACUGACUGAAAAAAAAACUAGAUUUACAGUUCCACGCAGGUUGAACCAGCGUGGAACGUACUUGGGUCUAAAUUAAAAUAGAUCCAUAAGUUAAAUGUACUUGGGCUUGGUUAGUUAAUUAAGUCCAGCCCCCAAAAAAUACUUCCACGCUGGUUGAACCUGCGUGGAAGAUAGAAUUAUAGCAAAAAAAAAUCAAGCGCGUUAGGGAUGCUCCUGGUAUAGGUUUGAACGACGUGCUAAAUUUUUUUUGGGGAAACGACGUGGCACCUAUGUGUCGUCCAUAACUGUCUAUGUGUCGUUCAAAUAUAGUAAAUUAUAGGAGGAAAAAAAAUUAAACAUUUGAGUUCAAUGAACCAUGAAUAUACUUAUCUACAACAAAAUUUUCAAUUAAAGUCUAAAAUUACCAAAGACCUACUUCAAAUAAAACAAAGAAAUUCCAUAAACGAACAAUAAUUUUCGUAUUAAACCUCAAAUCCAAGCAAUAGAACAUAAAAUUGAUAAAAUAAAGUAAGCUAUAAGGGAAAAAAAUCAGACCUUUGAGGUGCCCAAGAAUUACACACGUAUCCUUGUCUUGGGUUCCACUAAUCCAGGCACAAUUUGAGUGUUUUUGUUGUCUUCCACCUCAAUAAACAAAUGGGGUAAUAACAAUUAGAAAUCCUUACUCCAACAGAGUGAGAAAUCAAAACCCUAAACUAUAUGCCUCUUAGAGAGAGAGAGUACUUUCUUCAAUGUUUUUGAGUAUAGAUAGAAUCCUAAAAAUAGAAAAUUUUGUUAAGGUAGUAAGAGAAAAUGAAAUUUUGGGCGGUAAUAAGAUGAAAUA
RNAcentral lists this long non-coding RNA (2761 nucleotides) under Aquilegia coerulea. Its description in RNAcentral is "long non-coding RNA (ACOE_LNC002302)". Lineage: Eukaryota; Viridiplantae; Streptophyta; Magnoliopsida; Ranunculales; Ranunculaceae. The record is from RNAcentral.